UACGGAGGGGGCUAGCGUUGUUCGGAAUUACUGGGCGUAAAGCGCACGUAGGCGGCUUUGCAAGUUAGAGGUGAAAGCCCGGGGCUCAACUCCGGAAUUGCCUUUAAAACUGCAUCGCUAGAAUUGUGGAGAGGUAAGUGGAAUUCCGAGUGUAGAGGUGAAAUUCGUAGAUAUUCGGAAGAACACCAGUGGCGAAGGCGACUUACUGGCCUAUAACUGACGCUGAGGCGCGAAAGCGUGGGGAGCAAACAGG
Molecule: ribosomal RNA, 253 nt
Filed under: uncultured bacterium
Lineage: Bacteria
Description: partial 16S ribosomal RNA
Rfam family: Bacterial small subunit ribosomal RNA
Source: RNAcentral